GAUGAACGCUGGCGGCGUGCCUAAUACAUGCAAGUCGAGCGAACGGACGAGAAGCUUGCUUCUCUGAUGUUAGCGGCGGACGGGUGAGUAACGCGUGGAUAACCUUCCUAUAUGACUGGGAUCACUUCGGGACACCGUUGCUACUACCGGAUAAUACUAUGAACCGCAUGAUUCAAAAGUGCAAGGCGGUCUUGCUGUCUCUUAUAGAUGGAUCCGCGCUGCAUUAGCUAGUUGGUAAGGUACCGGCUUACCAAGGCAACGAUGCAUAGCCGACCUGAGAGGAUGAUCAGCCACACUGGAACUGAGACACGGUCCAGACUCCUACGGGAGGCAGCAGUGGGGAAUAUUGGACAAUGGGCGAAAGCCUGACGCAGCAAUGCCGCGUGAGUGAAGAAGGUCUUCGGAUCGUAAAGCUCUGUUAUUAGGGAAGAACAGCAGUAUGAGAAUACCUCGACGUCUUGACGGUACCUAAACAAAAAGCACCGGCUAACUUCGUG
RNAcentral lists this ribosomal RNA (497 nucleotides) under uncultured bacterium. RNAcentral describes it as "partial 16S ribosomal RNA". It matches the Rfam family "Bacterial small subunit ribosomal RNA", at positions 28 to 507 of the family's 1533-position model. The record is from RNAcentral.